This is a non-coding RNA of Prunus avium (sweet cherry), 647 nucleotides long. NCBI's taxonomy places the organism in Eukaryota, Viridiplantae, Streptophyta, Magnoliopsida, Rosales, Rosaceae. The record is from RefSeq and is a predicted model, not a curated record.
GUUUUGGUUUCAAAGUAAACCAUUGUACUUGGUGAGAAUUGAGUAUGCCAUGCAUCUUUUUCUUUUUUUUUCUUUUUUUUUCUUUUUUUUUCUGGUGAGAGAGAGAGUAUAUGCCAUGCAUCUUAUAUGCAUUGAUUCUUUAGGUGGGGUUUUCAUAGAGUUCUCAAGUCCAUUGAUUUUCUAAUGGCAGCAGUGUUAUUUAGAACAGAUAUGUAGGUCGAUAAUCAAUUGUGUGCAAGGAAAUCAACAAAUGCUCAAAAUGUUAGGUUCAGUUGACAAUUCAUGUGCUAUGGAUGGAUCCAACUUCGACUGCAUUACACGGGUGAUAUAAUCAAUCACGGUCACUUGUAGGCUGUAAAUGAUGCAUUGUUAUAUGUCUAUUGACACCUUAUGCAUCUUUGCUUGAGAAACUUAAAUCUUACAGAUCUCUUCUUUUCUCAGGGUCUGGCAUUGGUUAUGCACAAAAAUCAUGAAGGUCCAGCUGUUUUUGUGAUGCUUAAUAAGGCUUUAGAAAUUGCACAGCGGGAAAAAAGAGUCAUUGAGGAGAGGAAUAUAAGAAUUCUGAUUGCACAGAUGCAUGUUGUGAAGGGAGAAUUGGAAGAAGGCUUGAAUAAAUUUCAAGAUUUGGUCAAAGCGGAUCCUCGAGA